This is a long non-coding RNA of Oncorhynchus nerka (sockeye salmon), 1926 nucleotides long. RefSeq lists it as uncharacterized. The transcript has 2 exons. The record is from RefSeq and is a predicted model, not a curated record. Lineage: Eukaryota; Metazoa; Chordata; Actinopteri; Salmoniformes; Salmonidae.
CCUUACCCACCAUUGAGAAUGUCUACGUGUUCCAUUGGACAUUUUUCCAGCGUCAUCCAUAUUAGGUUCUUCGGUGUGACGGGGGAAACUUCGCAGGCAGGCUAAAGGGCUCCCCGGUUUAAAAGUGAGCAGGGCUCUCCAUGUAUGGGACUGUGGUCCUGAUUCGAAGCCACGGCGCCAGGGCCGUAUAUGGAGAGUCUAUGAUUUGUAAGACACCCUCGUGGCACAGCAAACUACAACUGCAUACAGGAUCCCGGUUGGAAAGCCCUUAUCGAGGAGCGCAACUGUAUAGCCAUAUAGGAACGACAACACGAAGGAAAGAAGGACCUGAGCCCCAGGACCAUGCCUCUGGACUACCUGGCAUGAUGACUCCUUGCUUGUCCCCAGUCCACCUGGCCGUGCUGCUGCUCCAGUUUCAACUGUUAUGCUCCAGUUUCAACUGUUCAACGGCUAUGGAAUCCUGACCCGUUCACCGGAUGUGCCACCUGUCCCAGACCUGCUGUUUUCAACUCUCUAGAGACAGCAGGAGUGGUAGAGAUACUCUUAAUGAUCGGCUAUGAAAAGCCAACUCACAUUUACUCCUGAGGUGCUGACUUGCUGCACUCUCGACAACUACUGUGAUUAUUAUUAUUUGACCUUGCUGGUCAUUUAUGAACAUUUGAACAUCUUGGCCAUGUUCUGUUAUAAUCUCCACCCGGCACAGCCAGAAGAGGACUGGCCACCGCUCAUAGCCUGGUUCCUCUCUAGGUUUCUUCCUAGGUUUUGGCCUUUCUAGGGAGUUUUACCUAGCCACCGUGCUUCUACACCUGCAUUGCUUGCUGUUUGGGGUUUUAGGCUGGGUUUCUGUACAGCACUUUGAGAUAUCAGCUGAUGUACGAAGGGCUAUAUAAAUACAUUUGAUUUGAUUUGAUUGGCCACAGAUAAAAUGACCUCAAAUCACAUUAUAUGUACAGUAGCUUUGAUUGGACUGAUCAUGUCAACAUCUUACUUUCUUAGCUAGCAGUCAUCAUCGUGAAUCAAGUCGACAAUCUACUGGCAAAUCCUUUUUAAUCCUUGUCAUAUGAAUAGAAAUUAUAGCUAAAAUGUAUCGGUGCUCAUCGGUCAUUGGACAUAAAGAUUACACAACAAAUUCAACAAUGAGUCGUUUGGAAGGAAUCAGUGGCUAACUGCAAGCAUUACAAAGCAACCACUAAUGUUAGCCUGCUAUUCAAUGGAGUGGCUGUGUUUUUUUUCCAGAGUUCCCACCACAAAUCCAGAGAAUGCCAGACUUUGAUGCCAAAGUUUGAUGCCAAAAUUUGCCCACAAAGGCCCGCUGCACCACCUUCACAAGGUGAGUCCAAAAAUAUAUUGUAUGUUGCUGCAUAAAUGAUGUAAUAUGCAACGGAGAUAUGUAUAUUGUAGCUAAGAAGGUAAUACGCUAUUGUAAACACAUCGUUCAUGGCCUGGUGUGUGCUUGUUAGCAAACUUUUUUGUACAGCUUUGACAGUGCUACUGAUAGUAGUGGGGGCGCUUGGCUUGCACGUGCAAAUUCAGCAUACACAACAUUCUAUAAUAGAAUUGUGUCAUUUGAUGUGUCAAAUUAAAAGCUUAUUUAACGUGUCAAAUAGUGUUAUAUGACGUGUAUGUUUUUUGACACGCAAAGACCCAAACGGCAUUCAAUGUGCUUCACCCUAACAAUUCAAUCUAUUUUCACCUCUUCAUUUUGCCUACUGUUCUAACUUGGGGGUGCACAUGUAGCCUAUAACCUGUUUUAGAGAAAUGUAAUCAUUGAAUAUUGGAAGAGUUUUCAUUGUCUGUUUAUAUGCCCCCUUUAUUUAUCCUAUGGUUCUGACUUGUUGUACAAGGAGAACACUGUAAGAACGGCCCAUGUUCUGAAUUCUGUCGCUGUACAUUUCAAAAGUGCUGAAUAAAUAGUUAUAUUGACUA